RNAcentral lists this ribosomal RNA (253 nucleotides) under uncultured bacterium. RNAcentral's name for it is "partial 16S ribosomal RNA". It matches the Rfam family "Bacterial small subunit ribosomal RNA", at positions 524 to 776 of the family's 1533-position model. The record is from RNAcentral.
UACGUAGGGUGCAAGCGUUGUCCGGAAUUAUUGGGCGUAAAGAGCUCGUAGGCGGUCUGUCGCGUCUGCUGUGAAAACUCGGGGCUUAACCCCGGGCCUGCAGUGGGUACGGGCAGACUAGAGUGCGGUAGGGGAGACUGGAAUUCCUGGUGUAGCGGUGAAAUGCGCAGAUAUCAGGAGGAAUACCGAUGGCGAAGGCAGGUCUCUGGGUUAACACUGACGCUCAUGCACGAAAGCGUGGGGAGCAAACAGG